CCCUUAGAUGUCCUGGGCUGCACGCGCGCUACACUGAUGUGUCCAGUAAGCACCUAACCUCUUCCGAAAGGAACGGGUAACCUUUGCAAAGCACAUCGUGAUGGGGAUAGAUUAUUGCAAUUAUUAGUCUUGAACGAGGAAUUCCUAGUAAGCACAAGUCAUCAGCUUGUGUUGACUACGUCCCUGCCCUUUGUACACACCGCCCGUCGCUCCUACCGAUUGAAUGUUCCGGUGAGCUCUUCGGACUGCGCGGUCUGCAGUUUCUGCGUUCCGUGCGGAAAGUUGCGCAAACCUUAACAUUUAGAGGAAGGAGAAGUCGUAACA
Molecule: ribosomal RNA, 324 nt
Filed under: uncultured eukaryote
Lineage: Eukaryota
Description: partial 18S ribosomal RNA
Rfam family: Eukaryotic small subunit ribosomal RNA
Source: RNAcentral